This 368-nucleotide ribosomal RNA is filed under the name uncultured bacterium. RNAcentral's name for it is "partial 16S ribosomal RNA". It matches the Rfam family "Bacterial small subunit ribosomal RNA", at positions 338 to 698 of the family's 1533-position model. The record is from RNAcentral.
CCUACGGGGGGCAGCAGUGGGGAAUAUUGCGCAAUGGGCGAAAGCCUGACGCAGCGACGCCGCGUGAGGGAUGACGGUCCUCGGAUCGUAAACCUCUGUCAGCAGGGAAGAACGGUCACUGUGCUAAUCAGCAGUGAAUUUACGGUACCUGCAAAGGAAGCACCGGCUAACUCCGUGCCAGCAGCCGCGGUAAUACGGAGGGUGCUAGCGUUAAUCGGAAUUACUGGGCGUAAAGCGCUCGUAGGCGGUAUGUCAAGUCAAGGGUGAAAUCCCCGGGCUCAACGUGGGAACUGCCUUUGAUACUGGGCAACUGGAGAGUGUGAGAGGUUGGUGGAAUUCCAGGUGUAGGAGUGAAAUCCUUAGAUAUC